CACGGAUCCAGACUUUGAUUAUGGCUCAGGACGAACGCUGGCGGCGUGCCUAAUACAUGCAAGUCGAGCGGACAGAAGGGAGCUUGCUCCCGGAUGUUAGCGGCGGACGGGUGAGUAACACGUGGGUAACCUGCCUGUAAGACUGGGAUAACUCCGGGAAACCGGAGCUAAUACCGGAUAGUUCCUUGAACCGCAUGGUUCAAGGAUGAAAGACGGUUUCGGCUGUCACUUACAGAUGGACCCGCGGCGCAUUAGCUAGUUGGUGAGGUAACGGCUCACCAAGGCGACGAUGCGUAGCCGACCUGAGAGGGUGAUCGGCCACACUGGGACUGAGACACGGCCCAGACUCCUACGGGAGGCAGCAGUAGGGAAUCUUCCGCAAUGGACGAAAGUCUGACGGAGCAACGCCGCGUGAGUGAUGAAGGUUUUCGGAUCGUAAAGCUCUGUUGUUAGGGAAGAACAAGUGCAAGAGUAACUUGCUUGCACCUUGGCGGUACCUAACCAGAAAGCCACGGCUUAACUACGUGCCAGCAGCCGCGGUAAUACGUAGGUGGCAAGCGUUGUCCCGAAUUAUUGGGCGUAAAGGGCUCGCAGGCGGUUUCUUAAGUGUGAUGUGAAAGCCCCCGGCUCAACCGGGGAGGGUCAUUGGAAACUGGGAAACUUGAGUGCAGAAGAGGAGAGUGGAAUUCCACGUGUAGCGGUGAAAUGCGUAGAGAUGUGGAGGAACACCAGUGGCGAAGGCGACUCUCUGGUCUGUAACUGACGCUGAGGAGCGAAAGCGUGGGGAGCGAACAGGAUUAGAUACCCUGGUAGUCCACGCCGUAAACGAUGAGUGCUAAGUGUUAGGGGGUUUCCGCCCCUUAGUGCUGCAGCUAACGCAUUAAGCACUCCGCCUGAAGAGUACGGUCGCAAGAUUCAAACUAAAAGUAAUUGGUGGUCGCCUGCAACCCCGGUGGAGCAAGCGGCGGAAUUCGAAGCAACGCGAAGAACCUUACCAGGUCUUGACAUCCUCUGACAACCCUAGAGAUAGGGCUUUCCCUUCGGGGACAGAGUGACAGGUGGUGCAUGGUUGUCGUCAGCUCGUGUCGUGAGAUGUUGGGUUAAGUCCCGCAACGAGCGCAACCCUUGAUCUUAGUUGCCAGCAUUCAGUUGGGCACUCUAAGGUGACUGCCGGUGACAAACUCGGAGGAAGGUGGGGAUGACUUCUAAUCAUCAUUGCUCCCUUUAUGACCUGGGUUACACACGUGCUACAAUGGACAGAACAAAGGGCUGCGAGACCGCAAGGUUUAGCCAAUCCCACAAAUCUGUUCUCAGUUCGGAUCGCAGUCUGCAACUCGACUGCGUGAAGCUGGAAUCGCUAGUAAUCGCGGAUCAGCAUGCCGCGGUGAAUACGUUCCCGGGCCUUGUACACACCGCCCGUCACACCACGAGAGUUUGCAACACCCGAAGUCGGUGAGGUAACCUUUAUGGAGCCAGCCGCCGAAGGUGGGGCAGAUGAUUGGGGUGAAGUCGUAACAAGCUAGCCGUAAGCUUCAC
RNAcentral lists this ribosomal RNA (1536 nucleotides) under Bacillus sp. VAN22. Its description in RNAcentral is "bacterial SSU rRNA". It matches the Rfam family "Bacterial small subunit ribosomal RNA". The record is from RNAcentral. Lineage: Bacteria; Bacillati; Bacillota; Bacilli; Caryophanales; Bacillaceae.